CAAAUGGCGCCGCUUGUUUGCUGGAAAGUUGGACGCAGAUGUAUUAAUGACAUUGCUUUUCCAAAAGAGAAUGAAGUUAAGGAUCUUACCAAUGGGCUUGAAAUCUUGAUCACACCUCUAAGUGGAGAAUUAGUAUGUUCAGAAGAAGAGAUAAAGUAUUGUUUUAUUGGAGCCCAAGACAUUGUCAAUAAAUUGGUUAAUAAAAGCAUUGUGGUCUCAAAAGUGUUCAAAGCUUCAGUUGAACUGCUCCUUAAUGUAAUUGAAAAAUACCAGCCCUGGUCUAAGCAUGAUAUUGUGAAAGCAAAAAUGGAAGAGUUGAGUUGCCAAAUA
This is a long non-coding RNA of Amphimedon queenslandica, 330 nucleotides long. RefSeq lists it as uncharacterized. Lineage: Eukaryota; Metazoa; Porifera; Demospongiae; Haplosclerida; Niphatidae. The record is from RefSeq and is a predicted model, not a curated record. The transcript has 3 exons.